CUCUCUCCAUAGAUGUAGAAAGACGGCACACCUCUGAAAUCCUUGUAAAUGACCGUGUUCUGUGAAAGCACGGGCAGCGCCCUUAGUGGCUAUCUUCCAUUUUUUUUUAAGUAGUCCAUUUCCUCUCCUUCAACUUGUGAGUGUUCUGGUAAUCUAUGAAGAAACAAUAAGGCACUUCAUACCACCAUCUACUGUGCUGCAGUGUGUACAGGCUGAACAGGUCAAAGCCAGGUUGGUGAUUUAGUGCCACCUGCAGUUAUGGAAUGUUUGCUGAGGAGUAUCAAUCAUUGGCUGACGCCUCCUGAUGACCUGCAUGGAAUUCAAAAUUACUACUUCAAAAUGGGGAGAAUCUCAAAAGCAUUUCUUUGAUUCAUCACAUCCUCUCUCCUCGCCUCCUUCUCAAAACCUAUAGGAUGACAAGGUCCUGAGGUUCCUCCUUCUCAAAACCUAUUGGAUGACAAGGUCCUGAGGUUCCUCCUUCUCAAACCCUAUUGGAUGAAAAGAUCCUGAGGUUCCUCCUUCUCAAACCCUAUUGGAUGACAAGGUCCUGAGGUUCCUCCUUCUCAAACCCUAUUGGAUGAAAAGGUCAUGAGGUUCCUCCUUCUCAAAACCUAUUGGAUGACAAGGUCCUGAGGUUCCUCCUUCUCAAAACCUAUUGGAUGACAAGGUCCUGAGGUUCCUCCUUCUCAAAACCUAUUGAAUGACAAGGUCCUGAGGUUCCUCCUUCUCAAAACCUAUUGGAUGACAAGGUCCUGAGGUUCCUCCUUCUCAAAACCUAUUGGAUGACAAGGUCCUGAGGUUCCUCCUUCUCAAAACCUAUUGGAUGACAAGGUCCUGAGGUUCCUCCUUCUCAAAACCUAUUGGAUGACAAGGUCCUGAGGUUCCUCCUUCUCAAAACCUAUUGGAUGACAAGGUCCUGAGGUUCCUCCUUCUCAAAACCUAUUGGAUGACAAGGUCCUGAGGUUCCUCCUUCUCAAAACCUAUUGGAUGACAAGGUCCUGAGGUUCCUCCUUCUCAAAACCUAUUGGAUGACAAGGUCCUGAGGUUCCUCCUUCUCAAAACCUAUAGGAUGACAAGGUCCUGAGGUUCCUCCUUCUCAAAACCCAUUGGAUGAAAAGGUCAGAAGGGAGGGAGCUCUGACCUUUUUUAUCCAAUGGGUUUAUGAGAAGGAGGUGAGGAGAGAGGACGUGAAGAUUCAAGGAAAUGCAAUUGCAGGCUGAGUGUGAUGAGGUAUGGCACAUUAAAAAAAGUUUUGCAGUUAAGUUUCCAUGUACCGGACAAAACGAUCUAAGUUAAAUGGUUUCCUGCAUUUUCAACUCUACCAUGAUUUUGUCACAAAAACUGUUGCAGUGAUACAGCAAACUAUCCCAAACUGGUUUUGAGCAUGAUUUAGACAGUUUGUGAUUUAGACAGUUCGUGAUUUAGACAGUGAAUUAGACAGUUCGUGAUUUCGACAGUUCGUGAUUUAGACAGUUCGUGAUUUAGACAGUUAGUGAUUUCGACAGUUUGUGAUUUUGACAGUUCGUGAUUUAGACAGUUCGUGAUUUAGACAGUUCGUGAUUUAGACAGUUCGUGAUUUAGACAGUUUGUGAUUUCGACAGAUCGUGAUUUUGACAGUUCGUGAUUUAGACAGUUCGUGAUUUAGACAGUUCGUGAUUUAGACAGUUCGUGAUUUAGACAGUUCGUGAUUUAGACAGUUCGUGAUUUAGACAGUUCGUGAUUUAGACAGUUCGUGAUUUAGACAGUUCGUGAUUUAGACAGUUCGUGAUUUAGACAGUUCGUGAUUUCAACAGUUUGUGAUUUCGACAAUUCAUGAUUUCGACAGUUUGCUGAUGAAGUGGACAGAGUGAGUUAUAUGAUUUGGAUAAAAGACAGAUCAUUUUUAGUGUAUCUUAGUUAAAUGCACUAAGUGGCUCUGAUUAAGAGUGUCUGCUAAAUGUAGCUUACUAGCAGUGUACCAUCUUUCCUCAUUUGUG
Molecule: long non-coding RNA, 1976 nt
Organism: Oncorhynchus gorbuscha (pink salmon)
Lineage: Eukaryota; Metazoa; Chordata; Actinopteri; Salmoniformes; Salmonidae
Exons: 3
Source: RefSeq, a predicted model, not a curated record